GUGCCAGCCGCCGCGGUAAUACGGAGGGUGCAAGCGUUAUCCGGAUUCACUGGGUUUAAAGGGUGCGUAGGAGGGCAGGUAAGUCAGUGGUGAAAUCCUAGGGCUUAACCCUAGAACUGCCGUUGAUACUCUCUGCCUUGAAUCCCGUGGAGGUGAGCGGAAUAUGUCAUGUAGCGGUGAAAUGCUUAGAUAUGACAUAGAACACCGAUUGCGAAGGCAGCUCACUACACGACGAUUGACUCUGAGGCACGAAAGCGUGGGGAUCAAACAGGAUUAGAAACCCUGGUAGUCC
RNAcentral lists this ribosomal RNA (292 nucleotides) under uncultured bacterium. Its description in RNAcentral is "partial 16S ribosomal RNA". It matches the Rfam family "Bacterial small subunit ribosomal RNA", at positions 505 to 796 of the family's 1533-position model. The record is from RNAcentral.